This 647-nucleotide small RNA is filed under the name Porites lobata. Its description in RNAcentral is "eukaryotic LSU rRNA". The stretch from base 240 to 393 matches the Rfam family "5.8S ribosomal RNA". Lineage: Eukaryota; Metazoa; Cnidaria; Anthozoa; Scleractinia; Poritidae. The record is from RNAcentral.
GGUGAACCUGCGGAAGGAUCAUUACCGAUGUGAAAAAUCCAAGGUUAAACAUCAUUAACCAGUGUGAACUGUACAACAACUCUUUAGGGGUCGGCACAGGCGUGUGUCGUUAAAUGGCGGAUAGGUUCCUUCCGCCAGCCCCGCCAUUGUGUUUAUGAUAUCACUUUGAACGUUUAAGACUGAGAACGUAUGUAUCAUGCAUGAAAUGUAUGAGAAGGAAGGAAAGAAAAAUGAGAGACAACUUUUGACGGUGGAUCUCUUGGCUCACGUAUCGAUGAAGAACGCAGCCAGCUGCGAUAUGUAGUGUGAAUUGCAGAAUUCAGUGAAUCAUUGAAUCUUUGAACGCAAAUGGCGCUCUUGGGUUCUCCCAGGAGCAUGUCUGUCUGAGUGUCGGAUUUUAUCGAACGCACUCGUGAGUGCGGUAUUGAGGUGUCACGGCGUGUUAGCAAGCAAGCAUUAAAUCGCCGUGUCCCUUGAAGGACAGCAGCAUUGGACUCGCAUUCUCUAUUGAAACUUGAGUGCGAAGGCUAAAGAUAAUAUUUUCCUUCGCCCAAACAUGCAAUAGCAGAAACAAAAUCCAAUCAAAGCGGUGACAGACAAUGACAACAUCAAAUCUUGACCUCAGAUCAGGCAAGGCUACCCGCUGA